GACGAACGCUGGCGGCGUGCUUAACACAUGCAAGUCGAACGGAAAGGCCCUGCUUUUGUGGGGUGCUCGAGUGGCGAACGGGUGAGUAACACGUGAGUAACCUGCCCUUGACUUUGGGAUAACUUCAGGAAACUGGGGCUAAUACCGGAUAGGAGCUCCUGCUGCAUGGUGGGGGUUGGAAAGUUUCGGCGGUUGGGGAUGGACUCGCGGCUUAUCAGCUUGUUGGUGGGGUAGUGGCUUACCAAGGCUUUGACGGGUAGCCGGCCUGAGAGGGUGACCGGCCACAUUGGGACUGAGAUACGGCCCAGACUCCUACGGGAGGCAGCAGUGGGGAAUAUUGCACAAUGGGCGGAAGCCUGAUGCAGCAAUGCCGCGUGCGGGAUGACGGCCUUCGGGUUGUAAACCGCUUUCGCCUGUGACGAAGCGUGAGUGACGGUAAUGAGUAAAGAAGCACCGGCUAACUACGUG
This 468-nucleotide ribosomal RNA is filed under the name uncultured bacterium. Its description in RNAcentral is "partial 16S ribosomal RNA". It matches the Rfam family "Bacterial small subunit ribosomal RNA", at positions 28 to 507 of the family's 1533-position model. The record is from RNAcentral.